AUCACAAGCCCAGCCCAGCUACACUUGCCUGUUUCGGUUUGCAUCUGUCUCUCUGCAGAGUGUGGAGACGACGAGGCAGCCACGCCGGCCGGAUCACCACCGCCACCGCGCCGCGCCAACCCUUGUACAGCCAGCCGGGCUCCCUCGCGCCGGCGGCACAGCGAUUCUCCCGAACUCAUCACCACCCCACUCCGGCCGGCCGGCCGCCCGUCCGCCCAUGGCCGUGGCGACCACCGGCAUCAGCAGGGCAAGCACGGCGCGGCGAGUCCCGCUUCAUCCUGCGCUGCGACAUAUCAGCCUCGCCCUCACCUUCCGCAUACCCCCUCCGCCUCUCGAGGAGCGAGGUGAAUAAGAGGCUCAUUAACGUGGAUUGCCUUCAGUGCCGUCGACAAAUUGAAGGAGGAUUGCGAGAUGCUGGAACAUUUGUUUUGUUCCCUGCCUAGUUGUUGAAUUCUGCAGCUUCGAACCCCACACACAACCCAGAGUUGUCUUCCAGGUUGAAACUGAUUUGCCAUCAGAGUCUUGUUGUAUGUGUCUUCUCUUCAUUCUUAAUGUUUCGUGUCUGCUAACCUGUUCGGGAGAAUCAACAUCUCAUACUGGUUGAUUGCGGUCUACCAUGGAGGCUAUAUCACUUGAAAGCUGUAUUGAAUGUGUCGUUGGCAAAAUACGCCGACAUAAUCAGUAUCUCAGCACGACUUGUGUCUUUUACUGUCGUAUUUCUUAUGUGCAUCAGAGGAAAUGUGCUCUCUAGGCAUGUCGGGCCGUACCGAGUCCAAGACUUAAUGAAUAUAAUAUCGUCCUGUCCAGUGAUCAAUACAAAGGACACUUGAAUUCGGUUUCUAAUGUCACUUUUUUUACCAUUCCAAACUUUAUCUGUGUUGAAAGGAAUCUAUGUGGUAACUUCUGCAUGUCUAUUUCACAUUCCUUGAUCUAAUUUCUAAAUUACUAGCUACCAGGCAGCCUUUUAUAUGAUAUCGAGCUGCCGACUCCACGUUAUCUUUGAUAUAGUUUGCAAUGUUUAGUAUUGUGAUAAUGUGUGGGAAGCUAAAGAAGCUGUUGUAUUGAUUGGAAGAUGGAAAGUGUGAACCAAAUCAACCAGUUGAUGUGAUGAUGUCUCGGUCAGCAUUUAGUAAUCAUGAUCAGCAAAUUUUUUUUACUUAACUACUGCAUAUAAAGCUCACAUGUUAUGAUCAAUCGUCAGUUUCAGCUUUAUUAAAUAUUGAAAUUGCUAGUUCCAUACUAACUUUGAUAGUCGAGAAAUUGGGACAGGUGUUGCCAGUAGUUAGUGAGCAUACUAACUUUGAUGAGCUACACUUGUCCUUACUAGUGUUUCACCAAAGAGUCAUCCGUAUUCAAGAGUGCCUUAAAAUCCACCGUGUCUUUACAUUUAAGACAGCGAAUGGGGAAUCAUCCAAGAUAAUUUUCAGAGAGGGAGAUGACCUCCGCCAAGAGCAGCUGUCAACUUAACAUCUGCUGCACAAGACACAUAGCUUCAGUUUGUGAUGUGUAAAGAUUACCUACCAUGGAGGGAAUCCGACAUUCAGGGUACAUGGUUAGGGUGAUCUCUGCUGCGAUCUCCUGUGUUCAUUUGGAGGAGGCGGCUGAUUAAUAGCUAUUAUUCCGAUCGCUUAAAACUGACGUAACUGUUAGGAAUAUGCAACUUGUAUUCCCAUGAGGCCAUAGGCCGAUAUAUAUAUAUAUAUACAUGUACAGGUGUGGAACAUAUGCAGGAAACCCCUUAUACAACGGGAUAAA
Molecule: long non-coding RNA, 1755 nt
Organism: Triticum aestivum (bread wheat)
Lineage: Eukaryota; Viridiplantae; Streptophyta; Magnoliopsida; Poales; Poaceae
Exons: 5
Source: RefSeq, a predicted model, not a curated record